RNAcentral lists this long non-coding RNA (2500 nucleotides) under Marmota monax (woodchuck). The record is from RNAcentral. Lineage: Eukaryota; Metazoa; Chordata; Mammalia; Rodentia; Sciuridae.
AAAUAAAAUAUUUUUUAAAAAAUUUACUAGUAUAAAAUAACAUUUAAACCAAUGUAAUGUAUAGGGCAUGACAGAUCUGAGGAACUCUGAGAGAUGUAAUGCAAUACACACUCUCCCUUUAAGGAAUGUGAUUUCUGGCUAAAAAGGCUAAGAAAUGCUAACUGUUAUUAAAUAACUUUCUGUUAUUUAAAUAAAAUUCACUGUAUUAGCUAGGUAUGGUGGUGCACUUCUAUAAUCUCAGCAGUUUGGGAGACUGAGGCAGAAGGAUCUCAAGUUCAAGUCCAGUCUCAGAAAUUAUAAAUAAAUAAAAAGGACUGGGGAUGUGACUCAGUGGGUAAGCACCCCUGGGUUUAAUCCCCUGUACCAAAAAAAAAAAAAAAAAUUCACCCUAUUGGAGAGAAACUGCAUAGAGAGUGACAUAUCUCAGACAAAUAAACUGGACACAUUCUUAUCUUAGUAAGGCAUUUGCAAUAUUCCUGUUUGAAUCUCUGCAAAUUUUAAACAGUAAAUACAAGUGACUGUUGCCCAACAAUCAGGUGAUUUUUAUAUACAUUACAAGUUACACUACUACAGGGUAGCUUUUUAAAAAGCUGGAAUACUAGUAAUCUGUAUUUCAUUUAUUCAGGAUCUUUUAUAAAUUACAAAGGACAAAUUCUCUUUUUUUAAGUAGAAACUCAUGGGAACUCUCAAUAGAGGAUUUCAUCUAUAAUCAUUAUCUCUUAGACACCAUCUAAGCAUUUAUGUGUAUCAGGCCUCAUGUGACUCUAAAAGGCGUCGUCCAAUUAUUACAUUGCUAUGGUUCUGCCCACCUAGCCAUAGACUGUUUCCAAAAUAAGAAAUGAGAACUUUAUUUCAGGUCUCUACUUAACUCCCUUAACUAACAGAUGAUAAUGAGAUUUAUUUCCUGUCUAAUGUUGGAACUUUUAAACUCACUAUUCAGAAUUUUUUCUUUUGUAAUGCUGGAGAUUGAAUGGCAUAAUUUUGAUGCCCAGAAUUAAAUGCCUGCCAAAGCUUAAAAAAAAAAAAAAAAAAGCUCAUAAACCAAGAUACUGCUCUCUGCUUAUUUCUGAGAAUUCACAUUCCAUUCUGCCAGUUUCCAGGCCACAUCUCACCACUCCCACGACUAAACCACAUUCUAUAUGUGGCUCAUAAGCAAUUUUCCUCAACCUCCUGUCGGCCCACACUUCCUUAGUCAGCAUCUGUCUUUUCUCAGAUCUAUUAAUUGAAGGGCUACUUCAACUAAUGUGUGUACAGCACAGUACACUAUUAACUUCCUUGUCCCCAAGGUUUAUGCCUUUCCUUUAUAAUCAGGGAAAAUGAGUCAUUCUAAAUACCCCCCCUGCAUACGUUGCUACCUUCUUUAUAGAAUUGCUUCUUUGACAAGGACCUUGUUCCCUUUGCCCCAUUAAAAUUGUGUCUCUGAUUUGGAUUCCUAAUUUAUACUUGAACUCUCUUUUUCCCUCUUUAAUUUCCUAGGCUACCUCCUCAUUCUUCUUUUUUCACUUCCUCCCUCCCUGCCCUUUUCCUCUAUAUUAUACCAUAUCUCUCCUAACUCUUCAGCACUGUCCUUAAUUGUCGAUCCAGUUUGCCUGGUUUAGUAAACCUUAUGUGGGUAGCUUCUUUGAUCUUCUAAACCUCUCUCACCACCAAAUACAUUUUCACAGAAUAAUCUUGAUUCAUUACAAGGUAAUAAAGCUUUCUACACAUUAACAGCAUGCAAUCUCAAUGUGUUCCUUAAAUAUCCAGAAGUAAAGUAGGUAGGACUAUUUCUAGUUUGAAAAUACUCUCAACAACAUUAAUAACAACUAACACCAUCUGACAAUUAAGUCUCAGACACUGACCUGAACACAUAUACCUCAUCAGACAUGACUGCCAUUACAAUGCAAUGCAUAGUGGUACUGUCACCCCCCUUUCAAAGAGUAGGAAACUUGAGAUGGUUACUUAAUUUGCAUGAGAUCACAUAAGUACGAAAUGGAAGAGCCUAUGCUUGCAUUCAGGGCAAAUUCCAUAGCUGAGACUCUAACCUAUCUUAGGUCACUUGCUCCUUGAGCUGGGAGUUCUUCCUUUGCCUAAAAAGAAGGAGAAAGAGAAGGGAAAAACUGAAGGAAUCCUCCUCCAGUUGUUUUUUGUACAGAUCAACCAUGAAAUGGCCUGACAUAAUUAUUUUCCCUCCUCCUUUCAUUGAAGACCUCUGUGCCAGGUGCUUGGGCAGAUGGGUAGAGAGAGGAAUAAGGAGACGCUUUUCUUAUGAUCAAGGAGCUCGUGAUUUUAAAAGGAGAAGUCAAAUUUCAUGAUAACACAGCAUAAAUCAUGUAUGAUUUUUCUCUCAUGCCCCUUGGACGUGACUCCUCUCUUGAAUCUAUUCCCUCCCUCCUUAUAAAACUUGUUAUCUCUACCUCUCCUAGGAUAUUUGGUACGUUUUCUACUGUGAAAUAGCUAUUUUCAUGCAACUUUUGUUUCCUUUUAUAUGAAUAAAAUUCUCAAAGAUUGAAGACUGUCC